RNAcentral lists this long non-coding RNA (2332 nucleotides) under Malus domestica (apple). RNAcentral's name for it is "long non-coding RNA (MDOM_LNC000267)". Lineage: Eukaryota; Viridiplantae; Streptophyta; Magnoliopsida; Rosales; Rosaceae. The record is from RNAcentral.
AAAAUUUUAUUUGAUGCAUUAUAUAUAAACCUAUGAACCUUGAAGGGGAUUUGCAUGACUAUAGCUUUGAUAAUUUGUUUUAAAUGCUUCCACUGCUUUCGUAUAUUAAAUUUGAUUUGUAUAUGCAUGAUAGUCAUUUAGAAAUCCCAUCCAUGAAUCUCAAAGAUUUCCCUUCAUCACUUUUGUGUCCCUAUCCAAAUGGUUCACUAAGUUUAUUAUAAACUAUAUAGUGAACAAUAACCACACGCUCUCCAAAUUGUUUGAUGUAUAUAACACAAUUGAAAUAAAUUUCAAGAGAGAUAGUGGGAGUUUAGGGACCAUGACUAUUGUAGUCAAAGGAGAAGUCAAAUGAAGAAGGCGAAAUAACUCCAAGGGAACAAACUUUCUUUAUUAAAGGAUGGACAUUGGAAGGGGUAUUUGCAAGAAAUGUCUUGCAAGUGUCAAGAACACACCUUUCGAAGGUGUUGUAAAUUGUUCUUGAAUAGUUCAAAAUAGUUGGUUCUUCUACUUGAAUGCUUGAUUCCGUAUUAGUAACUAUGUUUUACAAUCGUUGUAAAAGUGUGGCUAAUAAGAAGUAGAAGAUUAAUGAGAGAAGAGAAAGUACUUCACAUUCGGAACGUGAAUCAAAUGUAGAUCUCUGCGAAAGUAGGUAAUUCUUACUUCCUCAUAUGAACAACCAAAGAAAAUGGAAAAACAAAGAUUGUCUUUACAUUCCAAUUGAAUAAAGGAACUUAAUUCCGUAUGAGAAAUGGAUAAAUGUUUUGUUUGACAAAACAUUGUUCUUUAUUAAUGAAUGAUUAGAUUAUUAUAAUCUAAUUGAUUAUCUCUAUAGUAGAGAUGAUAUGGUAGUGUUAACUGUUUAGAAUAUAACGAUGCUUAAAACCCAAAAGGUUGCAAGGUAGUGACUAAUCCCCAACUGAGUUGUGAUACCUCUAAAACAUUAAAUUACGAGUUGGUCAUAGAUGGAUGCUUUGGAUCGUUAGAUCCAGAUCCAAUGCCUUCUUGUUAAAAUUGUAUAGAGGCAAAAUGUUUGAAUCUUUAUUCUUUUGGAAAGGAAGAAAGAAUCACAAAGUUGUUGAGGUUAAUUCACUUAUAUUUUAGUGGCACUUGUCCACAACAUAAUACUACUCAUGUUGUAUAACAUUCACCGAAGAUCGCUCUCGGUUGGACUAUCGUUUAUUAUGAAUAAACACAAGUCCGAAUACUUUGCAAAAGGUUUCGAAGAAUUCAAGAAUGUAAGUUGAUGAGUAAGACAUCUAAAGUAUUUAUCUCCUUAGAUUUGAUCUAAGGAAAGGUAACACUUUAGAACAGUUUCCUUGAAAGAUAUCAAGGAAAGAAGCAUCAUAAGAUAAUGGAUUUCUCUAUUAGGAGAAGAACGAACUUGAAUAAGAUUUAGUUUGUUGGAUGUUAUCAAUUAUCCAUAUAUAGGAUAAAUACUUCUAAGCCAAUAUGAUUGUCAAUUAGAAGAUCUUCCAACAUUUUCAUGACUCCAUAGGAUGUAGUUGGAAAGAAAGAUAAGUCUUAAUCAUAUUAAGAUUUGGGGUUGUGUGCUAAUAAGCAAUAUUUGUUUGAGAAUUAUCUUGUGGAUAUCCUUAAAUUAACCUUUGGAUAUCACUUCUAUAAGCCAACUAACAAAUGUUGUUUUGUUGGGUAGUUCAUUGUAAUCCUACAAUAUGAUUUGCCUAAGCGUAAAUGAACAAGAGAUAGAACUCAAAGAAUGGGUUCUUUGAGAGACAAGAUGAUAAUCAACAAAUAUAACAACCUAGUUCCUACACCACAAGAUCCAAGGUAGUUGAGAAGGAUUUAUAAACUGUCUCAGUUGAAUGGUUUGAACUUUAUGACUAUGUCAUAGAGUUACACCUCUUAAUUCGAAAGAAAUAAGAAUGAAAAUCCUUAUGACUACAUUGAGUGUAUAUACGACAUAUACUCAAGGAAAUGGUAAAGUACCAUUUGACUCGAAAUAAUGAAACCUUCAUAACUAAUUGGUAGCUUAAGGUGACUACAAUCAAAGAGAAUGGUUGACUUGGAAGAAACCAUCUUUGACAUAGUCUUGGUUUAAAUUAAUUCAAAGAUUGCUAGCUACAACUAAAUGGUGAUUCAAUGUUUGGACAUAAUAUGGGUUUCCGAAACCAUUAUUAAGAUAAUCAUGAUAAUGUGUCUGAAACUAUGAAUCACAAGACAUGUAAGUUGUAGAGAUUCAUCCAUCAUGAAUCUUAGCAAGCUAGUGGGAGCUAUAAGCGUCUUAUGAGAGAAAGAUCAAAUCAUUUGAUUUCUCAUAAAGAUGUAAAUGAAUCUUUUGUUUACUAGGUUUACAAAAGAUUAGUGGGAGUUA